GCCCGGUUAGCUCAAUCGGUAGAGCGUGAGACUCUUAUGAGUACACAACUCUAAAAUAUUAUCUCAAGGCUGUGGGUUCGACCCCCACAUCGGGCU
RNAcentral lists this transfer RNA (96 nucleotides) under Fusarium piperis. It matches the Rfam family "tRNA". From Rfam's summary of the family: Transfer RNA (tRNA) molecules are approximately 80 nucleotides in length. Their secondary structure includes four short double-helical elements and three loops (D, anti-codon, and T loops). The record is from Rfam by way of RNAcentral. Lineage: Eukaryota; Fungi; Ascomycota; Sordariomycetes; Hypocreales; Nectriaceae.